UCGAGAAUUUUUCACAAUGGGCGCAAGCCUGAUGGAGCGACGCCGCGUGGGGGAUGAAUGGCUUCGGCCCGUAAACCCCUGUCAUUUGCGAUCAACCGUUAUUAUUUAAAAGAUGAUGACCUGAUAGUAGCGAAAGAGGAAGGGACGGCUAACUCUGUGCCAGCAGCCGCGGUAAUACAGAGGUCCCGAGCGUUGUUCGGAUUCACUGGGCGUAAAGGGUGCGUAGGUGGCGAAGUAAGUCGGAUGUGAAAUCUCCGAGCUCAACUCGGAAAAUGCAUUGGAAACUACUUUGCUUGAGGAUUGGAGGGGGGACUGGAAUACUUGGUGUAGCAGUGAAAUGCGUAGAUAUCAAGUGGAACACCAGUGGCGAAAGCGAGUCCCUGGACAAUUCCUGACACUGAGGCACGAAAGCUAGGGGAGCAAACA
RNAcentral lists this ribosomal RNA (426 nucleotides) under uncultured prokaryote. RNAcentral describes it as "bacterial SSU rRNA". It matches the Rfam family "Bacterial small subunit ribosomal RNA", at positions 355 to 774 of the family's 1533-position model. The record is from RNAcentral.